This is a long non-coding RNA of Vicia villosa (hairy vetch), 562 nucleotides long. RefSeq lists it as uncharacterized. The record is from RefSeq and is a predicted model, not a curated record. The transcript has 2 exons. Lineage: Eukaryota; Viridiplantae; Streptophyta; Magnoliopsida; Fabales; Fabaceae.
AUAAUCCGCUAAGUUGUAGAAAGACAAAAGCCAAUUCUAAGAAAAUAGAACUAUCUCUGACAUACACUCGGUAAAGCUAAAAAUCUCAUUUUAGAAGAUGAUUGCAUUACGCUUAAGCCAUAAGCAUCAAAUCGUGGUUAACCAAAUCACCUCCACAAUAGUCAUCUUAGACAAACACUUCACAUUUUCGCAAAAAUUGAAGAAACCUACAAACUGCUCCAAAGACAUCUUCAGAAUGGGGCCAAUCCACUCAAACAUCCUCCUUCUAAUCCGCGAAGUUACCUCACAACCCCGAAAUAAGUGUGAUAAAGAUUCAUCCUCCGACAAACACGUGACACAAACGGUGGUUUCAUGCAGAUUUGCAAACGUGUAACUUGGUUAGGAGACGGUGCUGUUCUCAUAUUAUAUUAUGCUAGUUGUCGUCUCCAUCUCUAAUUAUCUGCCAUGUAUAGGAUGAAUGGCAAUAUUUAAUACAAUAAUUCAUUUGAUUUUAAGACAAAGCUGUGUUUGGACUGAGUGUGGAAAGUUAUCUAAUAAUGGAUGGGAUGAAUGGCAUUAUCUA